GGAAAAGGACAAAUCAAAAGCAUCAGGUGGUGAUGAAUCUGUCCGGAUUUCUGAAAACAAGGUACACGAUGGUGUAGGUAAAUGUGCCAAAGGCCAUAAAAAGAUUCCUGCCAAUCUUGCUCAAGUAAUUGAUCAGCUUUUNNNNNNUUGAAAUACCCUUUGCCAAAAAAUGAGGAGGGUUGUACAAGUGAAUCAAAUUCUAUGGAGGUGGAUGAACCUGCCACCAAGGUGAAGGGCAAAUCUAAGGUUGAUGAGACGAGGAAAGUGGAGUCUGAAUCAGAAAGAUCUGCUGGUUUGGUGAAGGUGACUUUUGUUCUCAAGUUAUUGAGUGAAAUUCUUCUUAUGUAUGUACAGGCAGUUGGGGUCAUACUGAGG
Molecule: unclassified non-coding RNA, 375 nt
Filed under: Hevea brasiliensis (rubber tree)
Lineage: Eukaryota; Viridiplantae; Streptophyta; Magnoliopsida; Malpighiales; Euphorbiaceae
Source: RNAcentral